RNAcentral lists this ribosomal RNA (352 nucleotides) under uncultured bacterium. RNAcentral's name for it is "bacterial SSU rRNA". It matches the Rfam family "Bacterial small subunit ribosomal RNA", at positions 8 to 350 of the family's 1533-position model. The record is from RNAcentral.
AGAGUUUGAUCCUGGCUCAGGAUGAACGCUAGCUACAGGCUUAACACAUGCAAGUCGAGGGGAAACGACAUCGAAAGCUUGCUUUUGAUGGGCGUCGACCGGCGCACGGGUGAGUAACGCGUAUCCAACCUGCCCACCACUUGGGAAUAACCUUGCGAAAGUAAGACUAAUACCCAAUGACGUCUCUAGAAGACAUCUGAAAGAGAUUAAAGAUUUAUCGGUGAUGGAUGGGGAUGCGUCUGAUUAGCUUGUUGGCGGGGUAACGGCCACAAGGCGACGAUCAGUAGGGGUUCUGAGAGGAAGGUCCCCACAUUGGAACUGAGACGACGGUCCAAACUCCCUACGGGAGGCA